CAGAGUAUUGCCCUUCGGGGUAGAUCUCCCACCCUUUGUUUAUUUAAACCUGUUGCUUUGGCGGGCCGUUCGGCCUCGUGCCGCCCACCGGCUUCGGCUGGUGUGUGCCCGUCGGAAGACACCUUAAACUCUGAAUAUAAUGUUGUCUGAGUACCAUAUAAUCGUUA
RNAcentral lists this unclassified non-coding RNA (167 nucleotides) under uncultured fungus. RNAcentral describes it as "sequence contains ITS1, 5.8S rRNA gene". RNAcentral also lists the same sequence under 1 other name. Lineage: Eukaryota; Fungi. The record is from RNAcentral.